CUUUGUCAACUAAAUGAGUGGUAAGAAGACAGUAGGAAUUUAUUUAAAAUAAUCUUGCAUUAUUCUAAGGUUACUAGAGUGCCAGCCAAUGUUUUACACUUUUGUUUUAUGGUACAGGAAAGGGAUUAUUGCAUGCAGAAUGUGAAUUUGAAGUCCUUCAGGAUUCUGAUCAACAGCAAGAACUUUAAUGAAUGCAUUCAUUACUAUUUCUUACUUAGCAUGUACUGGGGCUUGGGCUAUAGAGUAAAGUGGGAAAAUGGACCUAUGUAUUUUACUGAGAUUUCAGCAUUGACAGUAGAAUUGUUCUGGUGAAUACUGAACUUAUAAGAAGGUCCAACUAAGCAGAUGUGGAAUUUUGCAGGCAUUUCCCAGGAUAAAGUGACAUAUUCCUCUCCCUCCUGGUGAAGCUUCAGCUCCAUUAAUCAUGACCACUCGGACACUUCAAUGAAUUCAUGGAAACAGUCACUGCCAUGCUCUGAGGAGGUCUAUUGAUUUCUAGGUGCCUUUGCAAUUCAUGACGGAGAUCAGAAAGUUUUCAGCCAUCUGCACAGAUGCUAUUCAUCCCUCUGUGUGUGUGUGUCACAUGCGUGCACAGAAGAAAGGCUUGCCAAGUUUAUCAGCCGGAGUCUUUACAGAUCACGUGAAAGUCUUGUUUUCUUUUUAAGGAGGAGCCUCUGGUGUCUGAUGCCUUUGAUCUGGGCAAGAGACAGCCUUGCCUUUGUGUACAGUGGAGGUUCCUCACCCUGUAGGCUCUGCCAAGGCCUGAGUAUGAUGCUGUGGGUGAUUCACUGUCCAGAAGAUGAUGAGGGCCUGGGUCAGGACCAGCCUGGAAAUACUGCUGCAGUCACCGCUUCUCCAGCAAGGACCCUGAUGGCUUUCCCUGAACAGGCUCAUGGGGAUGACCAUGGUUUCCUAACUGUCAGGGUGCAAACUCCUUUUUCCUGGUCCCCAGACUGUGCAAGCAUCUGCUGUGUCAACCUGCCACAUCCAUUGACACUGUGCACACAGACUUAACCACCUGCUGCCUGUGUAAUUCGCCCACUUUGCCUUCCAGAGAGCAAGGUAAUGCGAGGGUGGCAGGAUGCUGGGAAGAGGGGAGGGGACAUUGUUGGUCCAGGGUCAGCUGUGACAAUCUAGCUCCAAGAUGCAGUAGUCUUGCAGCCAAGGCAGCCGGUGUCUUUCUCACCUGUGAGUCUACACUUUGUUCGAGAAGCCACUUGCUCCUGGAAUUUAACAAUGUGGUAUUAUCUCAUGAGAGCCGUGGUGGUAGUAGGUGCAGAAUGCCGGAGCCUCGCUGAGAAGGAAAUGGGUGAGUGUGGCUUGGGGAGGUGGGGCAGCUUCACCACACAGUCUGAAUCUUCUGUGCCAUUGUGAGGCAGGAUAGGAACUUGCAAUUCUUCCUUCCCAAAGUGGAGAGUCACAGAAGGGUUCAAAGCAUGGAGGAACAUGAGUCAAUUGCUUUAGGAAGACAAUUCCGGGAGAGAUAAGAAACUCAGCAGCCGCGCAGGAUGCUCUAUUUGUGGACAGGAUUUGUGACAAGCAUAAACUGCUGGUGAAGGAGGCUGUGAUGGAGCUUGCUGGUAUUUCUCCACUUCUUCCAGGGUGCUAGAUAUUUUAGCCAGAACCAUGGGUCUUGAAAUAAAAUAAAGCCUGUAUUUUGCAGACUCUCUUGAAGGUAGUUGAAGUCAUGAAACUGAGUUCCAGCCAAUAAUAUAUCUAAGCAGAAGAGUUGUGGGCAGUUGUGGGGUGUUUUUCUUAGGAGACAACCAGCACCUGCCUGUGCCCCACCUCCAGGCAUGCCUUUCUCCUGCCGCUGACACCAUCCUGAGCUCAGCGUGACCACCAUGCCCCAGGGAUGGGGAAGUGUGAGCUGAAGGGAGCCAGGGGCCAAGUCUCACAGAACACUGGGUUGUAAACAGCAAAGAUGUCCACCUCUCUCUAUUUUAAGUCACAGUUACUUGGUGGGGUGGCGGGGCUCUGUUAUUUGCUCCAGAAAUAAUUCUGAGUAAUGAACAGACCACUUGGACUUUCUCUUCUGGAACAGUUUCAGAAGUCAUGAUGUGGCUGGGCAUGGUGACCCACGCCUGUAAUCCCAGCACUUUAGGAGGCCGAGGCAGGUGGAUUACCUGAGGUCAGGAGUUCGAGACCAGGCUGGCCAACAUGGUGAAACCUUGUCUCUACUAAAAAUACACAAAAAAUCAGUUGGGUGUGGUGGCGUGCGUCUGUAAUCCCAGCUACUCAGGAGGCUGCGGCAGGAGAAUCACUUGAACCCGGGAGGCAGAGAUUGCAGUGAGCUGAGAUCACACCACUACACUCCAGCCUGGGUGGCAAGAGCGAGACUCUGUCUCAAACAAAACAAAACAAAACAAAAGUAAUGAUGUGCCCAGCUGAAGAGCAUCCAGACGCACCUGAGCUCCCAAUGCCCUCCCAUCACCAACCAGCGGGCCCCCAUGGUGGGUCCCAUCUCAGAGCUCCCCAUGCGUCCUUUCAACCACGCAUGUCUUCAUGGUCCUUAUGAAUGGCAAAGGAAAGCAAUCCUCCCAGUGAGUAAGAGGAUCCCUUCGGUGUUGGGCCACAAAGCUGGCUCUGACACUCAGUCCUUUGUCACAGUCCCUGAGUCAAGUCCCCUUCCUAGAGAGGCUCUGUGUGGUCAGUGAAGUGGAACGACAGCCGGAUCACACACCUGUGAUCAAAGGAGGGUGGCUGUGCACAGCCAGUGCUGUGGUGUGCGGGGGCUCCAUCUCUGUCUCAGCCCGGGCCUUCAGUGACGUGGGGCCCUUUGCAACCCCUGAGGCUCCUUGCAGAACAAAGGAGUUACUGAGGCAGCUGGCUGUGCUUGGCACCUCCCCG
This is a long non-coding RNA of Macaca nemestrina (pig-tailed macaque), 2850 nucleotides long. The record is from Ensembl. NCBI's taxonomy places the organism in Eukaryota, Metazoa, Chordata, Mammalia, Primates, Cercopithecidae.